CAAAUGCACGCAGAGUGAGGAGAGACUGAGCUCCGGGAGCCGGGUGAUGGUGAAACGGGGAAGAAUGCUCCCAGCCGCCGCUCUGCUUUGGAGACGCUGGAAACGUCUGCGCUGUGCCAGAGCGCAUGCCGCACAGGCCCGUGGGCGGCACAGGCACGUCUAAAUGCAUUACUGGGAUAAAGACAGAACAAGCCUCCUUCUCAAAACACCCAGUGAGGCUGGCCAAAGAACACAUAAGAACGUGUAAGCCUGGAGGUUGGCCACGCCAUCUGGAAAACAGACGUCCGUCUGGGCCCCAGUGCAUGCUCACUGCGGUGGGCAUGGACAGAAAGUCUUGAUUUCACAUAGCCGGGGACCUGGCUCAUAGCUCGCUCACCCGAUCCAUCACUGGAAGAAAUGGCGAGGAGACAGGCGGCAUGUGGCCGAGGAUGGCGCAGAGCUGGGAACAGGCAGAGCCUCCCAGACGCGUACGGCUGAGCCAGCCUAACAUAGCCCACCGCUGAGAUGGAUGAGAAUGACUUCCGUCUAGGCUAGGCGUAAGGUGACACUGUGAUUGGUUUCUGACCCUGGGACCGGGCAGCCAGGACACACAAAGGCUGGGCUGUCGAGCUCCAGGAUCAGAGGGUAGACAGCAUGGAACCAAGAGCAGGCC
Molecule: long non-coding RNA, 652 nt
Organism: Jaculus jaculus (lesser Egyptian jerboa)
Lineage: Eukaryota; Metazoa; Chordata; Mammalia; Rodentia; Dipodidae
Exons: 3
Source: RefSeq, a predicted model, not a curated record